GAGGCUGUGGCUUAGUGGUAGAGCAUCUGCUUGGCGUGUAGAAGGUCCUAAUCCCUGCCAGCUCCA
This 66-nucleotide transfer RNA is filed under the name Sphaerodactylus townsendi. Its description in RNAcentral is "tRNA-Ala". It matches the Rfam family "tRNA". From Rfam's summary of the family: Transfer RNA (tRNA) molecules are approximately 80 nucleotides in length. Their secondary structure includes four short double-helical elements and three loops (D, anti-codon, and T loops). Further hydrogen bonds mediate the characteristic L-shaped molecular structure. tRNAs have two regions of fundamental functional importance: the anti-codon, which is responsible for specific mRNA codon recognition, and the 3' end, to which the tRNAs corresponding amino acid is attached (by aminoacyl-tRNA synthetases). tRNAs cope with the degeneracy of the genetic code in two manners: having more than one tRNA (with a specific anti-codon) for a particular amino acid; and 'wobble' base-pairing, i.e. permitting non-standard base-pairing at the 3rd anti-codon position. Lineage: Eukaryota; Metazoa; Chordata; Lepidosauria; Squamata; Sphaerodactylidae. The record is from RNAcentral.